RNAcentral lists this long non-coding RNA (2773 nucleotides) under Salvia miltiorrhiza (redroot sage). Its description in RNAcentral is "long non-coding RNA (SMIL_LNC005644)". The record is from RNAcentral. Lineage: Eukaryota; Viridiplantae; Streptophyta; Magnoliopsida; Lamiales; Lamiaceae.
UCCCUCGCGAAAAGUUGCUUCCUUUGCUGAAUAUUGAUGGACACGCGUAUUAUGAUUUUUCUCCAGUGUCAGAAGUCCGGUUCGUGGUACUUGAUGGGUAUGAUGUCAGUGCCAUAGGCUGGCCCGAUGAUCAUCCGAACAGAAUAAAAGCCAUUGACAUUCUUAGAGAGAAGAAUCCGAACGUAGAUAAGAAUAGCCCCGAGGGACUUGUUGGGCCACCUAGAAGGUUCGUUCAGUUCAAUGGAGCAGUCGGGGAAGAACAGAUGGAGUGGUUGGAUUGUGUCCUUCAAGAUGCAAUGAAAUUGAACCAGAAAGUUGUGAUAUGCUGCCAUCUGCCUUUGGAGCCUCGUGCAACGUCUUUUGCUGCGUUGCUGUGGAACUACGAGGAAGUUAUGGAAGUGAUACACCGUUACAAUUGUGUGAAGGUCUGUCUGGCUGGCCAUACUCAUAAAGAUGGAUACUCGAUGGACUCCCAUGGCGUGCACCACCGGGUUCUUGCAGCAGCCUUGGAGUGCCCUCCGGGCACUGAUGCUUUUGGCUCCAUUGAUAUAUUCAACGACAUCUUGUUUGUCUCUGGCACAGACAGAAUGGGGGAUCAAGAAAUGCUUUUCAAUUGUUAGAUUCACCAUAAAGUUGUUGCCUUUGGCUCGGAUGCAGCGUAGCUAACUCGGGAAGAUGCUGAAAUUUCAUGGUGGACAUUAACAUAACCAAAUUCAUGAUAGGUACUCCACUGUCAAACUAUCAAAUAUUCUUGUUCUUGUUAUUUAAGAUAUCAAAUUCAUUUACUUAUUCCCUGUAUUAGCAAGAAUGAGACUCAUUACUAGUGUAUGCAAUAUCUUCUUUGAUCAUGUAGAAAGUUGGUUGAAUAAUGAGACAUAUCGAGACGUGUUACAGACCAUCACAUGUUACUACUCCCUCCUACAAAAGCCAUGUGGCAAACACGCGGCCCACUUGAUGAAACAUUCCAACAUAAGUUCUUAACUAACUUUGCAUUGCACCGUGUACUUUGUUAUUCUAUUUUCUUAUUUUAGUUGCACCACUGCAUUUUCAUAUGUUAUAAAGGCUACAGAUAGCCUUUCCUGGCUCAUCAGAGUCAAUAACCAGACAUCGAGCUCAUCAUUGGGCGAACCAGGGGACAUCUUAGAUGGUUGGACCCCCUUAUGGUGGAUGCAUCAAUAAUCAUGUCCUUACAUGAAGGUUGGCUAAACAUCAACAAUGUCGUGCUAUUUUUAUUCUUGAAUUGCAAUUCGGUUUCAUUAUUCUUAGUCGAAAUUGUGACAGUCUAUUUUUAGGUUGUGAGCCGAAUGGAGAAAUAAUUGCUGGUGCAGGUUGCGAGUAAAUUCUGCACUACACAUUUUCAGGUUUGCAUAUAUCAACAACUCUCAUGAGACUUGUUGAUUUGUAUUUUCUUUGGGAAGAUUAGUCGCAUCUGCGAUCAUUUGUGAUGGAAGAUGAAAUUAUUGAUGCUUAACAAAGACCAAUGUCGAUUUAAAGUAGAAAAUGUCGAUGAUGCUUACUCAAAUACAAUCAGGAAAAGAUGCAGAUUUUCUAUGAGAAACUUACAUGCGAGUCUACCAUAUUCGGGCAUAGACUUCUCGUUGCACAGAGCUUGUCUAGUACGAUUUGUUCUUCGUUUUGCAAGCGCAACUUCAGCUCAUAAAUUUCUUUUUGUCCAGUUUUAAGUUGGGAUAUUGAUAGAAUAGAGAGGUCAUAUUCAGUAGGAGCUACUUUUUUUGUUAUUAGUUUUCUCUAUGGUGUAUGGUGGAAAUAAAUGGUCUAUUUUGACGGCAACUAGUAAAUGCUGGUGGAGUUGAAAUCUUGAAAUGAAUAACAGGUUCAAAAUAAUUAUAUAAAUAAAAUUUAAUAGGUUACUAUAAAUACACAAAUAAUGAAAUAAUCAACCAUAGGUAAUAGUUAUUGAUAAAUAAAGCAAUUAUAAAUCAUAUUGUUAAUAUAAUUUGCCCUUUAACUAAAAUCUUAAUUGGGGUGAGCAAAACAAUCUAAACCAAAUAAUCGAACUGAUCAAAAUUGAAAUUUUAAAAUAUGUUUUGAUUUUUCGAUUUGGUUUAGUUUUAUCUUUCAAAAGAAUUUGAGUUUUCGAUUCGGUUCAGUUUUUGUAACCGAUCAAAACCAAAAACUAAAUUAUAUUUAUAUUACUAUAUAUAUAUAGGGUGUGGUUCUAGAGAUAACUACAUUAUUUGUGAGAACGUGAGAACCAUCAAAUCUAAUGCAUUCACUGUAAAAAUUAAUGCAUUCGCUGUUAAAAUUAAUACAUACAAAAAAAAAAAAAAAUUGCUCCUUCAGGAUUCGAACCCAGGAUCUGCAUUCAUCCAACAAGAUGAUACAUCCACCGUAGAUCAUAAUAAUCGAAUGGCUGAAAAUGGUUCUCCGUUUUUUUUUAUGGUUCUUUCUUGAACCUCUCCCUAUAUAUAUAUAUAUGUANAGAAGUCCGGUUCGUGGUACUUGAUGGGUAUGAUGUCAGUGCCAUAGGCUGGCCCGAUGAUCAUCCGAACAGAAUAAAAGCCAUUGACAUUCUUAGAGAGAAGAAUCCGAACGUAGAUAAGAAUAGCCCCGAGGGACUUGUUGGGCCACCUAGAAGGUUCGUUCAGUUCAAUGGAGCAGUCGGGGAAGAACAGAUGGAGUGGUUGGAUUGUGUCCUUCAAGAUGCAAUGAAAUUGAACCAGAAAGUUGUGAUAUGCUGCCAUCUGCCUUUGGAGCCUCGUGCAACGUCUUUUGCUGCGUUGCUGUGGAACUACGAGGAAGUUAUGGAAGU